Lolium perenne is the source of this 1221-nucleotide long non-coding RNA. RefSeq lists it as uncharacterized. Lineage: Eukaryota; Viridiplantae; Streptophyta; Magnoliopsida; Poales; Poaceae. The record is from RefSeq and is a predicted model, not a curated record.
AAAAGUUACUUAUUAGCCUGCAGUUUUUGCUUGCUUAUCCGAUCUCCUUCCGAGAUCGAAACUCCGUGAUUCUCCGGCCGGCACCGAUCGAGAAGGAGAAGGAGGGGCUGCCUUCCCCGCUCAAUUCGUGGCGUGGGGGUCGCCGUGCGCGCCGACCCGGUUGUAACGCCGCCCGUCCAUCCUCCGCGGGAGACGUCUCCCUAUUCUGGGAUGCGGCGUCGCUCGCUUAGCCCUCUUCCUCCUCCGGUUCAAGAUGGGAUUUUUCCCUCUCUGGCGGCCUGAUCUAGGGCGGCGCGGCCGGAUCUUCUCGUGUGGUGCUCCAAUCUCUGUGAUGCACUACGUACGCUCCAGGAAGAGAAAGGGCUCGAGCUCGGAGCUGGACGUCGCGAGGAGCAUCGAGCUGCUCAUCCUCGAGGCCUCCUUGCUGGGGGUCUACACCGGCCAGCUGGUGAUCAUCCUCUGGGCCUCCUUCCGUGCCCCCUUCCAGAAGUUGAAGUUGAUAUUCUAGGACGCACCGGCGACUAUGUAGAUUGCGCCACUGAAGAACAAUCUUGGAGUACAUACGUUUCUGCUGUUAAUAAUCUGUGUAGGAUGCUUGUUUACCAUCCAAAACAGCCGCAAAGGAGUUCUGCUAUGCUGAUAGGGACGCCUUGCUCAUGUAUAAGGCUAUUGUGCGAGUUCAGGAACCUGGAGGUGCCCCUGGGACGGCGACGCACUGGAUGAGCAUGAUCAAGGGGGAGGUGACGGCGUGACGCGCCGGCCUUCUCCCCUGGCUGGCACUGUGCUCCUGGUGGGUGGGGGGCGGCGUUCUGCUGCUGCUGCUGAUGGCCUGCUGGUUGGGGCGGCAAUGAAGAAGCGGGCGAGGUGGCGCUGGCGAUCAAGGGAUGCGAGGAAGAAGCGGGGAGGUGGCGCUAGCUAUCAAGGGAGACGAGGAGGGAACAGGGGGAGGUAGCCCAGGCGAGAAAGAAGCGGGCAAGGUGGUGCUAGCGAGCGUCUGGGAGGUGGCCCGACAGGUGCCGGACUGCCGCCGGGCGAGCUCCUGGAGGUGCCCGAGCAAGGGGCCAGCAGCCGGCGAGGGAGACGCGGGGGGAAGUCGCGGUCAGAGGAAGAAAAAUGAAGUGGCCCGGGUCGAUGGAUUUUGCUUCUAUACUGAAUUUAACUGAUGCUGUUAACUGAAGUUUGGUCUUGGUUUGCGUUGUAUAUAUAUUGCUGAUUCGUUUC